AUUGAACGCUGGCGGCAGGCCUAACACAUGCAAGUCGAACGGUAACAGGAAGAAGCUUGCUUCUUUGCUGACGAGUGGCGGACGGGUGAGUAAUGUCUGGGAAACUGCCUGAUGGAGGGGGAUAACUACUGGAAACGGUAGCUAAUACCGCAUAACGUCGCAAGACCAAAGAGGGGGACCUUCGGGCCUCUCGCCAUCGGAUGUGCCCAGAUGGGAUUAGCUAGUAGGUGGGGUAACGGCUCACCUAGGCGACGAUCCCUCGCUGGUCUGAGAGAAUGACCAGCCACACUGGAUCUGAGACACGGUCCAGACUCCUACGGGAGGCAGCAGUGGGGAAUAUUGCGCAAUGGGCGCAAGCCUGAUGCAGCCAUGCCGCGUGUAUGAAGAAGGCCUUCGGGUUGUAAAGUACUUUCAGCGGGGAGGAAGGGAGUAAAGUUAAUACCUUUGCUCAUUGACGUUACCCGCAGAAGAAGCACCGGCUAACUCCGUG
Molecule: ribosomal RNA, 490 nt
Filed under: uncultured bacterium
Lineage: Bacteria
Description: partial 16S ribosomal RNA
Rfam family: Bacterial small subunit ribosomal RNA
Source: RNAcentral